Molecule: ribosomal RNA, 230 nt
Filed under: uncultured bacterium
Lineage: Bacteria
Description: partial 16S ribosomal RNA
Rfam family: Bacterial small subunit ribosomal RNA
Source: RNAcentral
AAAGCGUGCGCAGGCGGUCUUGUAAGACAGAGGUGAAAUCCCCGGGCUCAACCUGGGAACUGCCUUUGUGACUGCAAGGCUAGAGUACGGCAGAGGGGGAUGGAAUUCCGCGUGUAGCAGUGAAAUGCGUAGAUAUGCGGAGGAACACCGAUGGCGAAGGCAAUCCCCUGGGCCUGUACUGACGCUCAUGCACGAAAGCGUGGGGAGCAAACAGGAUUAGAUACCCUGGU